CUGCCACAACGGCUUCCUGGCGUGGCGGGAAUUGACCCUAAUGGAGCA
RNAcentral lists this non-coding RNA (48 nucleotides) under Roseovarius confluentis. Its description in RNAcentral is "SAM-SAH-Weickhmann-2018 RNA". It matches the Rfam family "SAM/SAH riboswitch aptamer". The record is from RNAcentral. Lineage: Bacteria; Pseudomonadati; Pseudomonadota; Alphaproteobacteria; Rhodobacterales; Roseobacteraceae.